This is a long non-coding RNA of Hypanus sabinus (Atlantic stingray), 1407 nucleotides long. RefSeq lists it as uncharacterized. The record is from RefSeq and is a predicted model, not a curated record. The transcript is spliced from 2 exons. Lineage: Eukaryota; Metazoa; Chordata; Chondrichthyes; Myliobatiformes; Dasyatidae.
UCGUCUGCUUCAAUGACUUUGGAGAGGGGUUUUGAACUUGCCUUUCGAUGUUGGGUUGGACGAAAUAUGUGGUUUGUGCUUGGCAAUACUUAUGGGGAAAUCUAUGCUGCAGUGUGUGUGUUCAAGUGCUUAGUGCAAUUCAACAUUUCACUUUUGAUGAGAUAGGCUUUUUAUUUUUAACUGAGUUCAAAUUCUCAGUUGGCCGUAGAGCAAUGCUGAAUUUGCAUACUUGCUCUGACCCAGUCCAGCAUCAUGAUCACGAGGGUGCUGUUCCCUCCAAGAAAACGUGGAAGGAAUGAAAAAUGACAUCAAAAUGAAGGGACUGUUGUGCCUGCUCUAUAAAGUCAUGGCUGACCUUUAACUUCAGUGGCACUUUUCCGCAUACCCCUCGAUUAAUGUUGAAUAACCCCAGCCUUCUUGGGUAGAAACUUCCAAAGAUUCACUGCGCUCUGGUCAAGACAUCUCAUCUGUGUCACAAAUGGCUGAUACCUACUUCUGAGAGAAUAAUCCUGGUUGUGGAUGCUGUAACCAAAGGAAGUAUCAUGCCAGCACUUACAAAUUCAUAACCCUGGUACGUUUCAAAAAAGGAUCUGUUUGCAACAGGCAGUGGAAGCCUUGGCAAGGGGUUGCUAAAGAAAGACAGCUGGAUAAACCUCCAGUGAAAGGCUGUCCUGUGGUAGAUCCAUAAAAAUAUUGCAACCCAAUGGCAAGCCAGGUUUGCCUCUGGUCCCCCUGUAAUAUGUCCACCCAGCCACCAAGCCCCCCAGGAUCAGCUUUAUCAUUUCAUACAAGUCCUCAAGACCAGCGGCGUCCCCAGCUUGCAUUCUCAUCUUGUUGACGAUAUGCUGGCCUCCAGACUGGCUCUCGGGGUCUCACAACUGGCUGCUAUUCGAUAUACCAAGGGCGCAGGCCUAGAAGACUAGUGCGCCUUUGGGGUUACAGGAUUUCUUGGCUCUGGAGGCUGGCGGACUCGAGGUCGGUGCCUUCGCAGGUUACUGGUGUGCCGUGGGAGAACAUGGAAGACUGUAAGCAGUGAGCUGGCUGCUGGCUGUGUGCCCAGAGACCCGAGUUCUUUGGGCACAGAGCUCGGAAGAAGAGACACAACAGACUUUUAACACCAUAAAUCAACCAGCACAUUUCGUGGGAGUUUGGAAAUGCUGAGAACAGAUGAAUCAUGCAACUUCUACAGGCAGAAAUUUACCCGAAGCAUCUCUCCAUUCUCUCAUACUGUGGUGAACUACAUAUACCUGUCUGGACACGACCCCUGCUGACUGCUCCUGUGGCUCCUCCCACAGACCCCGGUAUAAAGGCGAUUGAGGCCUGAGCCCUGCCCGCAGUCUCCAGGAUGUAGUAUGGUGGUCAACUACUGCUUGUUCUUUCUUCCUGUCAAUAAAAGACGAUAUCUCA